RNAcentral lists this ribosomal RNA (744 nucleotides) under Lactiplantibacillus plantarum. Its description in RNAcentral is "bacterial SSU rRNA". It matches the Rfam family "Bacterial small subunit ribosomal RNA", at positions 48 to 758 of the family's 1533-position model. Lineage: Bacteria; Bacillati; Bacillota; Bacilli; Lactobacillales; Lactobacillaceae. The record is from RNAcentral.
CUAAUACAUGCAAGUCGAACGAACUCUGGUAUUGAUUGGUGCUUGCAUCAUGAUUUACAUUUGAGUGAGUGGCGAACUGGUGAGUAACACGUGGGAAACCUGCCCAGAAGCGGGGGAUAACACCUGGAAACAGAUGCUAAUACCGCAUAACAACUUGGACCGCAUGGUCCGAGUUUGAAAGAUGGCUUCGGCUAUCACUUUUGGAUGGUCCCGCGGCGUAUUAGCUAGAUGGUGGGGUAACGGCUCACCAUGGCAAUGAUACGUAGCCGACCUGAGAGGGUAAUCGGCCACAUUGGGACUGAGACACGGCCCAAACUCCUACGGGAGGCAGCAGUAGGGAAUCUUCCACAAUGGACGAAAGUCUGAUGGAGCAACGCCGCGUGAGUGAAGAAGGGUUUCGGCUCGUAAAACUCUGUUGUUAAAGAAGAACAUAUCUGAGAGUAACUGUUCAGGUAUUGACGGUAUUUAACCAGAAAGCCACGGCUAACUACGUGCCAGCAGCCGCGGUAAUACGUAGGUGGCAAGCGUUGUCCGGAUUUAUUGGGCGUAAAGCGAGCGCAGGCGGUUUUUUAAGUCUGAUGUGAAAGCCUUCGGCUCAACCGAAGAAGUGCAUCGGAAACUGGGAAACUUGAGUGCAGAAGAGGACAGUGGAACUCCAUGUGUAGCGGUGAAAUGCGUAGAUAUAUGGAAGAACACCAGUGGCGAAGGCGGCUGUCUGGCUGUAACUGACGCUGAGGCUCGAAA